This 695-nucleotide ribosomal RNA is filed under the name Tripos balechii. RNAcentral's name for it is "eukaryotic LSU rRNA". It matches the Rfam family "Eukaryotic large subunit ribosomal RNA", at positions 38 to 655 of the family's 3401-position model. The record is from RNAcentral. Lineage: Eukaryota; Dinophyceae; Gonyaulacales; Ceratiaceae.
GCAUAUAAGUAAGUGGAGGAUCUGAAACCAAAUGGGAAUUCUUAAGUAAUGGCGAAUGAACAGGAACAAGCCUAGUGUGGAAAUUGAGGUUGAUGACCUUGACUUGUUUUCUUCAGAUGCUAUCCCAGCAAAGGUGCACAUGUAGAUGUUUUGGAAAAGGAUUUCGAGGAAGGUGACAUGCCUGUCUGAGUUGUGUGGUCCUUUGUAUACGGGAUGCGUUUCAUGAGUCACGUUCCUUGAAAUUGGAACGCAAAGUAGGUGGUAAUUUUCACCCAAGGCUACUUAUUAGUGUGAAACCGAUAGCAAACAAGUACCAUGAGGGAAACAUGAAAAGGACUUUGAAAAGAGGGUUAAAAGUGCUUGAAAUUGCUGAACUGGAAGCGAAGGAUGUUUGAAUGCCAUGAUAGAUUGCUUCAACUGCUUGCUGCUCUUGAUGUUGCAUAAGGUGAUAUCAUAGAUGGGGCAAUGUGAUUGUAGUGUUGCUGUCUUGGUGUGUUAGUGCCCUCAUGUGUUGGAGCAUGCAGUCUGGAGCAUGGAAGCUCGCUGGUUGAGUGUGUGAAUGCUUUAGUUGCAGCUUGGACAUGUUAGGUUUGAUGGUUUCUUUUAGGGAUGCAUCUGUUUCCUUCUCGGUGGCAGAUCCGAUUUCUGUUUGUAAGCUGUCAUGACUAGAGAAUAAACAUCUUUCGACCCGUCUG